This 484-nucleotide ribosomal RNA is filed under the name uncultured Fusobacteriaceae bacterium. RNAcentral describes it as "bacterial SSU rRNA". It matches the Rfam family "Bacterial small subunit ribosomal RNA", at positions 9 to 507 of the family's 1533-position model. Lineage: Bacteria; Fusobacteriati; Fusobacteriota; Fusobacteriia; Fusobacteriales; Fusobacteriaceae. The record is from RNAcentral.
GAGUUUGAUCCUGGCUCAGGAUGAACGCUGACAGAAUGCUUAACACAUGCAAGUCUACUCGAAGUUAGCUUCGGCUAACGGACGGUGGCGGACGGGUGAGUAACGCGUAAAGAACUUGCCUUGCAGUUUGGGACAACAUCUGGAAACGGAUGCUAAUACCGGGUAUUAUGCUUUGACCGCAUGGUCUUAGUAUGAAAGCUAUAUGCGCUGCAAGAGAGCUUUGCGUCCUAUUAGCUAGUUGGUGAGGUAACGGCCCACCAAGGCAGUGAUAGGUAGCCGGCCUGAGACGGGUGAACGGCCACAAGGGGACUGAGACACGGCCCUUACUCCUACGGGAGGCAGCAGUGGGGAAUAUUGGACAAUGGACCAAAAGUCUGAUCCAGCAAUUCUGUGUGCACGAUGAAGUUUUUCGGAAUGUAAAGUGCUUUCAGUUGGGACGAAGAACGUGACGGUACCAACAGAAGAAGCGACGGCUAAAUACGUG